This 73-nucleotide transfer RNA is filed under the name Umbilicaria muhlenbergii. RNAcentral's name for it is "tRNA-Val (CAC) (tRNA-Val-CAC-1-1)". It matches the Rfam family "tRNA". From Rfam's summary of the family: Transfer RNA (tRNA) molecules are approximately 80 nucleotides in length. Their secondary structure includes four short double-helical elements and three loops (D, anti-codon, and T loops). Further hydrogen bonds mediate the characteristic L-shaped molecular structure. tRNAs have two regions of fundamental functional importance: the anti-codon, which is responsible for specific mRNA codon recognition, and the 3' end, to which the tRNAs corresponding amino acid is attached (by aminoacyl-tRNA synthetases). tRNAs cope with the degeneracy of the genetic code in two manners: having more than one tRNA (with a specific anti-codon) for a particular amino acid; and 'wobble' base-pairing, i.e. permitting non-standard base-pairing at the 3rd anti-codon position. Lineage: Eukaryota; Fungi; Ascomycota; Lecanoromycetes; Umbilicariales; Umbilicariaceae. The record is from RNAcentral.
AGUUUUGUGGUCUAAUGGUUAUGAUUUCUCGUUCACACCGAGAAGGUUCGGAGUUCGAUCCUCCGCAAAACUA